Molecule: ribosomal RNA, 500 nt
Filed under: uncultured bacterium
Lineage: Bacteria
Description: partial 16S ribosomal RNA
Rfam family: Bacterial small subunit ribosomal RNA
Source: RNAcentral
AUUGAACGCUGGCGGCAUGCCUUACACAUGCAAGUCGAGCGGCAGCGCGGGGGCAACCCUGGCGGCGAGCGGCGGACGGGUGAGUAAUACAUCGGAACGUGUCCUUUCGUGGGGGAUGACCAGUCGAAAGACUGGCUAAUACCGCAUGAGAUCUCACGAUGAAAGCGGGGGACCGCAAGGCCUCGCGCGAUUGGAGCGGCCGAUGUCGGAUUAGCUAGUUGGCGGGGUAAAAGCCCACCAAGGCGACGAUCCGUAGCUGGUUUGAGAGAACGACCAGCCACACUGGGACUGAGACACGGCCCAGACUCCUACGGGAGGCAGCAGUGGGGAAUUUUGGACAAUGGGGGCAACCCUGAUCCAGCCAUGCCGCGUGUGUGAAGAAGGCCUUCGGGUUGUAAAGCACUUCCGGCCGGAACGAAAUCGCGCGGAUUAAUAACCCGCGUGGAUGACGGUACCGGAAGAAGAAGCACCGGCUAACUACGUGCCAGCAGCCGCCGUAA